This 461-nucleotide ribosomal RNA is filed under the name uncultured bacterium. RNAcentral's name for it is "bacterial SSU rRNA". It matches the Rfam family "Bacterial small subunit ribosomal RNA", at positions 56 to 515 of the family's 1533-position model. The record is from RNAcentral.
UGCAGUCGAACGGGAUUUGAGUAGCAAUACUUAAUGAGAGUGGCGCACGGGUGCGUAACGCGUAUGCAACCUACCUUUAACAGGGGGAUAGCUCCGAGAAAUCGGGAUUAAUACCCCAUAGUAUUAUUGAUUGGCAUCGAUUAAUAAUUAAAGCUCCGGCGGUUAAAGAUGGGCAUGCGUGCCAUUAGCUAGUUGGUGAGGUAAAGGCUCACCAAGGCGAUGAUGGCUAGGGGUUCUGAGAGGAUUAUCCCCCACACUGGUACUGAGACACGGACCAGACUCCUACGGGAGGCAGCAGUAAGGAAUAUUGGGCAAUGGACGCAAGUCUGACCCAGCCAUGCCGCGUGCAGGAAGACGGCCCUAUGGGUUGUAAACUGCUUUUAUCAGGGAAUAACCCCCCGGAUGUAUCCGGGGCUGAAUGUACCUGAAGAAUAAGCAUCGGCUAACUCCGUGCCAGCAGC